RNAcentral lists this ribosomal RNA (460 nucleotides) under uncultured bacterium. RNAcentral describes it as "partial 16S ribosomal RNA". It matches the Rfam family "Bacterial small subunit ribosomal RNA", at positions 338 to 795 of the family's 1533-position model. The record is from RNAcentral.
CCUACGGGUGACAGCAGUGAGGAAUAUUGGUCAAUGGGCGGAAGCCUGAACCAGCCAAGUAGCGUGCAGGAUGACGGCCCUACGGGUUGUAAACUGCUUUUAUACGGGAAUAACGCGCCUUACGUGUAGGGCUUUGCAUGUACCGUAUGAAUAAGGACCGGCUAAUUCCGUGCCAGCAGCCGCGGUAAUACGGAAGGUCCGGGCGUUAUCCGGAUUUAUUGGGUUUAAAGGGCGCGUAGGCCGCAUGUCAAGCGUGCUGUGAAAUGUCCGGGCUCAACCCGGGCCUUGCAGCGCGAACUGGCGUGCUUGAGUCCGCGGAAAGCAGGCGGAAUUCGUCGUGUAGCGGUGAAAUGCUGAGAGAUGACGAAGAACCCCGAUUGCGAAGGCAGCUUGCUGCAGCGGAACUGACGCUGAUGCUCGAAAGCGCGGGGAUCGAACAGGAUUAGAUACCCCGGUAGUC